AAAACAGAAAAACAAAA
This 17-nucleotide small RNA is filed under the name Arabidopsis thaliana (thale cress). RNAcentral's name for it is "ATSL181940". Lineage: Eukaryota; Viridiplantae; Streptophyta; Magnoliopsida; Brassicales; Brassicaceae. The record is from RNAcentral.